CCAAAAAUGGUUUCCCCUUUAAAGACCGUCGGAUGUGGCCAAUCCUUUAUUUGAUAUAAAUUAUCAUGGGACUUUAUGGGUCACCAGUUAAAAAUUUUUGUUUGUCAAGACAUUGAGCACAUGUUCCUAUCAACGCCUGCGAUAAAUAUAGUGCCAGCAAUCGCGGUCAUACUUUGGCAGGCCAAAAGAUAUAAAGAACGUAAACAUACUCGCUUUAUGUAUUUUUAGUGAAAUAUAAUUAUCAUUAUACUAUGUUGUAUAAUAUGUAAAGGCUAAUUACAAACAGGGAUUAGAUACCCCUUUAUGUAGCACACAUAACUACGUUCUGAGGGUUAAACUCUCUUUUAUUUAAACUUAAUCAUCAUGGCGGUGGUUUAAAAAUUUUAGGGGAACUUACGAGGUAAAUGAUAACCAUCAAGCCAACCUACGGUUGGUUAUAUUUUGUAUACCGUCGUCGUAGGUAAUUUAUAAUAGAUUAUCACCUUUUAAGUACAAGAUAAGACAGAUCUAGGUGCAGACCAUCCUACCGUCUCCGCGAGUUACAAUAAAAAAUACAUUCAUCAACCACUUUUAAUUGUGCUAAAUGGAGGACUUAAAAGUAAUAAAUAUUAAGGAUAAUAUAUGAAUAUAACUUUAACCGUGC
Molecule: ribosomal RNA, 643 nt
Filed under: Liburnica setosa setosa
Lineage: Eukaryota; Metazoa; Mollusca; Gastropoda; Stylommatophora; Helicidae
Description: partial 12S small subunit ribosomal RNA
Source: RNAcentral